GAGAACAAACAGUCACAGAAGUAAUUUUGCAUUUAUCGCCACUAUUAACAAGUAAAAUAAGAGAAGGGAGAGAUGUUGAACCUCAAUAUAAAUAAAAACAAGCAAUUACACAGAUCUUGACCCCAAAAUUUGAGCGAGGAAAUAACGACAAAAAUCUGACAGGAAACCGCAGACAAUGACUCGGAACCACGAACCACGACCUUGAAUAAGAACUCGAAUGCAAGAUUUGCCUCCCAAAAUUCGGAUCUCUUAAUCAAAAACUCAACACAGCUCCAUUUCAAAUCAGAAAAAUGAAGGCUUGAAAUCAGAUUCCGAUCAAACCCAAUCCAUCACCAUCCGCAAAUACUCGUGGUCGUUUGUACGGAUCUCAGAGACCUUUCACUGACUUUUUCUUUUUUUGCCUUUUUUAACACCGUUUUCUGAAAGAUUUCAAACAGUAAAUUUUCUUGUUGCAUGCAGUGACUAUAGUCCACCACCGAUGAGCAUGAAAUAAGGAAACUCUCAACGAUCGAGACAGAUCUAGGAUCCUAAAGUUGAUGGUUCGACCUAAGAUAUUUGGUACUAAACUGAUGGUGGGCGGCUAUUUUUAGAGCUGUUUCGUUGUGGCUUCAGGUGGUGUUUGACGGAGUUGCAACGGCGAUGGAGGUGAAGGAGGAAGUCUGUUUCGUGGUUGUUCCGGCGAGCUGAGUUGAGGAUGAUGAAGAAGAUUGCUGGUUGGUGUGAGGUCGUGAGAUAAAGAAGUAGCAGCGGCUACUUGUUAUGGUGUCUUGGCGUGAAAGAGAUGGAGGAGAGGCAGUGGUGUGGGGGUGCUGUGUAUGGAAGACGAUCAGCGACUCUAAGGUUCCUGGAAAUGGUUUCCUGUUCACAGGGGUGUUCGAACGGUUUUGUGAAGAUGAAGGAGAGAAAGUCUGAUGAGUGUUCUUUGGUUGAAGAAGAAAGUCACGGCUGGGGCUAGUUGAUUAGCUAGGAUUUUCUUUUGAAGAAGAUGAAGGUUGGGGUUCCAGCUGAAAACGGCUGCCAUCUCUCUUAGGUCUUAGGAUUUUUUUGUCUAGGUCUAGGUUUUAGGGUUAUUUUUAUGUUAGGAGAGUAUGGGCUUAGAAAUUAUGGGUUUGAAAAUUAUGGGCUAGAUCCGAAUUGGGUCAAAUUUUGGCCAAAUUUACCUUUAAAAAGUUGCCCUUUAACUCCACUAGACUAAAAGUAUUAAUUCCUAAAAUAAUAACUACAAAAUUAUGAAAUCAUUCCUAAUUAAUUAAAGUAAAAUUAAGAAUUAAAAGUGAAACUAUUUUUGUAUUUUUUAAAAUUUUAUGGAAGGUAUAUAAACUAAAAGUAACUAGAUAAAAUAUCAAUUAGCUAAAUUAAAGAAAAUACUUUUGUAAUUUUUAUUUUUGUGACAAAAUAAAGUAAAAGAGUGAAAAAUUAGUAAGUAGCGAUAUUAGACCUAAACUAAAUAUUUAACACUAAAAUGUGUAAAAUCUUAGGGAGGGUCAAAAAUUAUAUGUCUAUAACUUUCCCUCUUUGACUGGAAACACGAAGUAUUUUCCGACAAAGAACGAUGAGACAGGUUUUUUGAUCCGACCCUUAUUUAGAGAGACCAAAAACUAAAAGAAAGGAGAAUGUGACCGAGCCCUGGUGUCUGAGCUGCCUACAUAUCAUUAACUAUAAAGGAAUCAGGCCACGUGUAGUUCAAAAGUAGGAACAGUGAUGGAGUAAACCGAGGUGCAGAGCCGAUUAAGGUGUCGUUCCGUUGAGGUUCCGUUCCACGGUCCUGUUAUUACAUCGAAAAUCAAGAUUAAAAAAACUAACUAAGCCUAUCAGCUAAGAGUUACAAGAUUCCUAUCUAUGAGUCUUCUAAAGCUUGAUCUUGAGUCUUGGUUUGUUCUUCAUGCAGACUCUGAUCUGAAUUUGAUGCUUGUUAGCUGCAGGUGUUAGUUCAUUCUUCCACGGCUUCUUCGGAUCAAGACCGUACAUGCAGUGCUCGUGACUUCAGCCAUGUCUUGAGCAGCUCACAUCUUUCAUCUGCUUCUGCAUUUGUAUUCACUUCCCUCUUUUUUUCUUUUCUUUCUUUUUCUUGGAUUGAGACUUCUUCUUUGGUUAUCUCAAACCCUCGUGCCUCGAGGUAAAAACCAUAUUCUUCAGGCAACUCAUGCUACCUCCGAUUUAAAACUUGAAAUGAAUUCUGAAAUGACUUCCCCCAUUCUCCGGGUGGGUGCCUGCUACUGACUGGAAACUUGAAAUAAAUUCCCCCAUUCUCCGGGUGGGCGCCUGCUACUCACAUAAAACUUAAAAUGACUCUGAAUUGAAUUCUGAAAUGACUUCCCUCAUUCUCCAGGCGGGGUGCCUGCAACUUAAAAUUUGAAAUAAAUUCCCUUGUUCUCCAGGUGGGCGCCUGAUGCUGACUUAAAAUUUGAAAUAAAUUCCAUUUUUCUCCAGGUGGACGCCUGUAACUUAAACUUGAAAUGAAUUCCCUUAUUCUCCAGGUGGGCGCCUGCAACUUAAACUAGAUGUAUCAAACGGGCUAGGUUGACCCGGGAUCGGCCGUCCCAGACCGAUUGAAAACCAGACCGGUCCGGCCCGGUACUUAAGGGGCCGGGUGGGCUGGGUUACUGGGGUUAGGGGGUUGGUCCGUUCACUUUAAUUUAUCCGAUUAACCGGACCGGUCAAACCCGAUCAACCAAAAUCCCUAUAGAAUCGGUUAACCAGCCCGGCGCAGCCCGAACCGGUUUAAAGGCUAGAUUUCAAUUUUUUUUUUAAUUUUUUAAGGUUUUAGAGUCUAAGGCAAUGCAAAACCUUUGAAUUUACUUUUUUUUCGUUAAUUUACUUGUUGUUAAAUGUAAACCUUUAAAUUUGUAAGUUGGAAUUUUGAAAUAAAUGUUGCACUUGCCAUUUAUAAGUGCAAUUGUUUUCCAUUUUCAUUGUAUUCUUUAUAUUUUUACUCUAUAUUAAUAUAAAUUACAAUAGUUAUACAAAAUAAAAAAAAAACACUAACCCGGCCCGGCUCGGCCCCUUGGACCCGUAACCUUACGAUUCAUUUUUUUACACGGAUGAACCCGAACCCGUUAAGCCCGGGAACCCCUAACCCGUAACUGGCCCGGUUUGAAACUCGGACGGUUUUAACUUUUCCGUACCCAGCCCGGCCCACCGUUUAGACAUCCUUAACUUAAACUUGAAAUGAAUUACCUUGUUCUCCAGGUGGGCGCCUAAUGCUGACUUAAAAUUUGAAAUAAAUUCUCUUGUUCUCCAGGUGGGCGCUUGAUGCCGACUUAAAAUUUGAAAUAAAUUCCCUUGUUCUCCAGGUGGGCGCCAACAACUUAAACUUGAAAUGAAUUCCCUUGUUCUCCAGGUGAGCGCCUGAUGCUGACUUAAAAUUUGAAAUAAAUUCCCUUGUUCUCCAGGUGGGCACAUGCAACUGACUUAAAACUCGAAUGAAUUCCCUUGUUCUCAAGGUGGGCGCCUGCAACUGACUUAAAAUUUGAAAUAAAUUCCCUUGUUCUCCAGGUGGGCGCUUACCAUUACAACAAAACAGACAAAACAAAAGAAACUUUUCUUCCCUAGUUUGGUACCGGGAACAUCUGUGAGUGUUAAUGAAAUCAUGUUAUCCAAAAAAACUCUAAGAAUUUAAAAGCUAAAUCUCAUUAUCCAGGAGGGCCUUGAAAACUAAAAUUAAAUCUAAUCUUAAGAGUGAAAACUUGAAAGCUAAAUUCUAUUCCUAAAGGUAGAACUUACGCUAAAUCUCAUUAUCUAUGAGAGUCCUAAAAACUUAAAACUAAAUCCCAUUAUCCAGGAAGGUCAUGACAACUUAAAACUACAUCCCAUUAUCCAGGAGGGUCCUGAACUUAAGGAAAUCUAAAACUCUUCUGAUUGUGAAGAAUGUUUAGGAGGUACGAUUCUUCUCGACUAAGGAAAAUGUGCAGGAGGUAAAAACCUUCUUAACUAGGGGAAUGCCUAGCAAUUAAAACCUCCUCAAACAGCCUUUCUGCAGACAAAAUUAGGCACGACACUUGAAAAAUUCAAGCUUCCAAGCUUUGAUUUGGACAUAGUCUUCAUCCCUGUUUCAAACAAAGAAAACUUGUGAUUCAAACACGGUAGUUGGUUUGUGGCCUUGACUUUGAGGGAGAUUGCUCCUUCACUUCUCAUGAUAACUUUAAUUUCAACUCGAAAGACCUUGCUUAUUUAUUGAAUAACCACUUUCUCUGUCACCCUUAUCACAGAAAAUACCUCUGAUCUGUUCAAACCCAACAUCCUCUAUCUGUUGCAUUGUGCUCAUGAAUUGACAUAUACCGAACCUUUGUAUUUCACAUGAAUCCCAAAACAUGUCAAUUGCCACCCACUCAGUGCGCAUACUGUGCUUUCCUAACUUAUGCCGCUUUGAUGUGCUAGCCAGAUUCCGUUUUGUGCAAUUGGAAGGCAGGUAACAAAUUUUGAAGUUAUUUCUCACUUGUUCUAGCCAAAUAGACUCAAGAAAAGGGAGUAAACAAAACAAAGGGAACAAAGUAAGAGACAAUGGAAAGAGAUGAUAUCUAACAAGAAAAUUACAAAGUAGAAACUUAUCAGAUGUGGAUACCAACUCUAAUGACCAUGACAUGCAUUUUUAGAUUAAGUGGCCUAAUCUGUCAAGCAAGUCUAAUGUUUAACUCUUGUUUUACCUCUGAGUCAUGAAACUGAGCUUCAAUGCUCCGAUUAUCCUAUCUGAUUCACAGUCCUUAUUCGACUUGUAGUGCCCGAAGGAUUUUUACCAUCAAGCCUCUCUCAUUUCUUCUUUCUCUCAAUUCACCGUCGCCUUAUGGUUCCUGUGAAGGUUUUCAUCAAUAAGACUCUCUCAUUUUGUUCUUUUUAUUUUUACUUCCUCCGAUUUUGUAGAUGACAAGGCAUUGACCAUAGUAAAAACAUCAUAUGCUCCUGGCAUGUCUAGCUCGGCACUCUCAAAGAUUACCUAGGAGGUCUUUUUGGACUGUAAUGUGGCUUUUGGACAGGGUUAGAAAGUAAGGAUAUCACAAAGGCUCAAAAUAACUAAAACAACGGGGUUGAUUUAUUUACAACUUUUGGAAUCCAUUCUAAAAACUUUACCCAAUUUCUAAAACAAGGGAAUUUGAAUCUUUUUUUCUUUUUCUUUUUGAGAUGAAAUUUCUAAGAAAGACUGCCCCACUCUCAACUUCGUGGGAUUAUGAAAUAUUUUAUUUGGUGCGACCGAACCUUAAGGUUGCCUACGUAUCUUGUGGCGACAAGAAUUAGGUCGAACGUAAUUCAACGAAAUACUUUUUGUUACUAUUUUUCUUUCUUUUUUCUUUUUCUUUUUUUUCCUUUAUCUCUAUUUUUCUUUUUUUUUUCUUUUUUUUUGAAUUUCCCUUAUGGAAUGAACUCUCUAAAACAAACCUAUGGGUAAAUGAACCUUUUUUUCUUUUUCGUAUGACUCUAACUUGAUUCCAAAAGAGGAGAGAUAAAGAAAUCAGCACAGGCUCAAAGGGUAUCCAAGGAUAUAAAGUGUUUGGGUAGCUGAAAGAGGGACUCUCAAUCCCUAAAAAUGCCAAGUACAACACAUGCAACUUGAGGAUGAAAAUUGAAGAUCAUGCACAAUAUUUCUUUUGCGACUUCGGCAAUGGUAUCACUGAUAUGCCUUCCAUUUUUCUUUAGCGCCUUGUUAAGUAUAAAAAUCUCGUUGGGUGAUUCCUUCUUCACAAUGGAUAUCCUCCCUCAAUUCGGAGCAAACUCUCUUGACUUUAUCUUGUAAAUUGAGGUGCACUUGAACUCAAAACUGCUUGCUUCAAAUUGUUUGGGAUUCACUCUCCUUUAACGAAUUCUUGUCAUCUUAUCAACUUCCCAAAUUAUCUGCCUCAGUUUCACACAUUUCGGGCUUUAAAUGAUCUCACAAUGUCUAAAUAUGUACUUAUUUCCCUCAAACGUCCCUAUCAUCUUCAAAAUUGUUUCAUUGCUUUGUAAUUAGACUAAUGUUUAAGAAUAAGCCUUCAAUUAUGCGUGCAUGUCAUGUCACUAGAGCCAGCAUUAAAAAAACUAUUAAAGAAAAAGCAAACUAAACAAAAAUUGACUAAAAAUAACAGAAAUAGGAAAUUGCAUUAGACAGACGGUGAAAGGGUUUGAACAACAAAACAAGCAAAAUAAGCUAGGGUUACAACCCUGGAACAAACCUAGAUAACACUAAACGAGUUACUACGACUAAACGAACUAGGAAAAAUAAAAGGAUAGAAGGGUUUGAAUCACAAGACAAUAUCCGGAUUACAACCCUGAAAUUACCCGGAAAACAGAAAUGAAAACAAAAUAAACCACCAAAACUUCUCUCUAACUAACCAAGAAAAGAGUGUCUUUCCAAUUACUAAGCUCGACAUGUUAGCCACUGAGUCGCACAUCGAUGUUACUAGAACCUUUGCAAGUCUCCAUCAUGUUGUCCUUAGCAAAUAGCUUUUGGGUACCUUUUGCCAACUCACUCUUAAGAUCAACUUCCGGAACCGAGACUGAUACUGCUGAAAGCUUUGCGGAAAGUGCCCCCCCAAGGGACUCAGAAGAGUUCUCGUAUUCCAUUUCAACACAAACCAUACCCACCAUGUGCGUCUCAUUAAGAACAUGCAGUGGACUUUGGCUAGUGUCUAAUGCAUCUGGAUUUUGCACGACAAUGUCACUUGCGUCAACAAGCUUCUGGACUGCUCUUUUCAGAUUCCAACACUUUUCGAUGAUGUGCCUCAGGGGAUUUGAGCAAUAUGCACACCUCUGAGAAUAAUCAAAAUUCUCUGGAAGGGGGUUCAGCAUUUUUAUCUGAAUCGGCUUUAACAUGCCCAAUUGCCUCAAUCUUUGGAACAAACUGGCACAUGAUUCUCCAAUAGGAGUGAAAGACUUUUCUCUUUGUUGCUGCCUUUUCAUUUUGUACUAUGGCCUGGACUGAAACCUCUUGCAGGCAGGUGGUUGAUAUGCUUAUAGAGGUGGGUAAGACAUUUUUGGAGACGGUGCAAGCCACUGCGGGUCUUGUGGAUGUGGAGUAUAUAGCGGUGCAUUGUGGAUAAAGUACUGGGAAAGUGAGGUAUGACUUUGGUGAUUUUGUGGAGAGAAGUAGCAUUGGGGAGAAUUAUCUGGAGUAUGAUGAUAUUUAUGGGGAUGAUAUUGGGGCUGAAAGUGUUGAUCAGGAAAACCCACUGGAUCUUGUCGUCGGCGGGGUUCAACGACAUCUUUUCUAUUUCUCUUUCUUCCCCCCAAAUUUACUGAGAUGUUCUGAAUGUUUUCUAUAGUAUAUUUCAAUGCAGAAUAACUCAUGAUUUUUCCUAUCUUGAUUCCUUCUUCUACUAUCUCCCCCAUCUUUACCACAUCAUUGAAAGGUUUACCCAAAGCCGGGAUCAAAUGACUGAAGCAGAUGGCCCCUUAGGCUUGUAGAAAAAUCUCACCCAUUUCUUCUUCACCAAUCGGGGAACUGACUCGAGCAGCUUGUUCCCUCCAUCUAAGUCCAAACUCCCUAAAACUUUCCUCGGAUUUUUUUUCCAACUUAGAUAAGGAGGAUCGGUCUGGGAUAAUGUCUAGAUUGUACUGAUCAAACAAAAUCUUGAGCCAUUUCAUCCCAUGCAUGCCACUUAUUGACAUUUUGACGAGUAUAUCAUUCCAAGGCUGCCCCACUCAAGCUCUCACUAAAAUAUGCGAUCAACAAUUCAUCUUUCCCGCCAACACUUCUCAUUUCACUGCAAUAAACCCUCAGAUAGGCUACUAGGUCUCCAUGCCCAUCAUACAUGUUAAACUUUGGUAUUUUAAAUCAUGCGGCCAAGUGAACGUCAUGGAACAUACACAGAUCCUUGAAGGCAAUACUCUUCUGACAUGCCAACGCUUGCAUGUUUCAUAAAGACUGCUCUAAGAUUUUCACCUUCCUGGAUAUCUCAUCUUGCUCCACUGUCUUAGUAGAAUUUUCAGUUUCACCGGGAGGCUCAAAAUGAGGAGCGUGAGAGUAUGGAUCCGAGACCUUGAAAGUUGGUUCUGGAGCAUAAUGUUGGGCAUCAGGGAUGUCGAACACAGUCUCGCUAGAGGAUCGAGGAAAGGUAGCUGGUGGAUGAUCUACAAAAAUAUGAGUGGUCAAAGGAGCGAGAUAUGAGGUGGUUUUGGUGAGUGGAGUGUGAAAAGUUUGUGGAGAGAUGUCAGCAGCAGUGGGAAUCUGGAUUUGUGACAGUGGCGGAAUAGUGACAAGGCUUUCAGGGUAGUUAGUGGAAAAUAAUGGUGGAGGACGCCCACUAAUCUAGGCUUGGUAUUUUUCAGCCAUCUGUCCUUUCAACCUUAAGACCUCUUCUUUCAACUUAGAUUCUUACUCAACAAUCUCCUUAGACGGAUCAAUAACACCCGUGUCCAAGUCUUUGCUAGCCAUGACUACCUUGAUCUUUGACCUUGUGUUGUAUGGAUGAGUUACUUAAGAGCCACAAACCAACCACCCUUCUCAAUGAAGAUAACAAAAGGAACAAAAUGGGGUCAUCUUGUCAGCGUUAGAGCAUUUAACAGCUAAAAAUAUCACAUUGCGUGCAAUGCACCUAGAAACAAUUAAUGGUUCUAGAAUGACUUCGAGGGUCACAAGGUCACUUGGCAUCAUCCCAAUUUUGUUCAUUUCAAUCUUCUCUUUUCUUUCUUUUCUAGCACUUCUUGGCUUGCUUAUUUUCCUUCCUCUUUUUUUUCUUCUUCUAAUUAUCACUCUUUUCUUUCCUCUUAUUUCUCGCAUCCCAUAAUUUCACCUCUCUUUUUUCUUUUAAUUUUAUUUUUAAAAAUAAUUCGAUCGAACCUUAUGUAGAUUGCAUACGUAUCAUGUUCCACAUGAAUCAUACCAAGCGUAGUUCUAGAAAAGUAAUUUAUAAAUUAAACUAAAAAAAUAAAAAACUUUUUGGAUUAUUCAUUACAACAACCUUUUUUUUCAUUUUCAAAUACAAAACAGGAAAUAUGAUAACGAGAGACUCAACUCAACUAUACUACGACAAACUCUGACACUAACUAUAAGAAUUAUUACUACUGGACAUGACUAUAAGGUACAAAACAACAUAAAAAGAAACAGACUCAAAACAUAAAAAAUCUCCUUAAGCAACUCCUGGAUGCAGCAGUCCUGACCAGAUUGUCCUGGGGUAUCUGUCAUGCUCAAACUCCGGUAAGUAAAUCCACACCUGUAUAAGAAAACUCAAACCAAAUAGAGUUAAAGACCUAGAACACUAUGUGAGACAAUAACACUUCCUGUUGGACACAUGCAAGACAUGAUUGAAGCUAUUUUUGCAAAAUAGCUUAUGUGGCCAAAAUGUGGUUGGAAGUGCAAACUCAACAAAAAUGACCUCUAAGACAUGGAAAAAUUACUUUGCCGAAAUGACCCAUGUGGCAAAAAAUGGCUAAGCAUGCAAAUUCAACAUAAUGGACCUUAAACAGAGAGGACACCUUGUUGUGGACUUAGGACUCUAAGACAUGGGUUAAUUGAACCACUUUUGCGAAAAUAACCUAUUUUGCAAAAUGGCCUAUGUGUCCAAAAGCGGCUAGACAUGAAAUUUUGACAAGGACGGACCUUUAAAGUAAAGAGACACCUAAUUGUGGAUUCAAGACUCUUCAGACAAUUAAACAAACUACUUUGCAAAAAUAGCCAUAUUUUACAAAAUGACCGAUGUGGCCAAAAGUGGCUAGACAUGCAAGAUGUGGCUACGACCUUCGAAGCCAAGAACCUAAGACUUACUAGGAAGACCGGACCCUAUGUGGGUUGCCUACGUAUUAUGCCCCGAAAGAUGAGAAUCAGGUAUGCGUAGUUCGGAAAGAUUGGAUACAAGCGAGAAUUAAACAAUAACAAAUAAUUUAGAGAAAAUAUAUUUUUUGUCUUUUUUUUUGAAAAAUGAUGAAACAUGUAAACUCUUUUUGAUUUUCUUUUUCUCUUUUUUUAUUCUUUUUUUGGAAAAUAAUGGGAAAGUGCAAAAUCUUUUUGGAUUUUUCAUGUUUUUUUUUCUUUUUCUUGAAAAAAACAAAUUGUGAAAGAAACAUAUAACUGGGCCCUACUUGCUUUAUUUUUAUACUUCAACCUCUUUUCUUUCUCAUUUACCCUCAAACCUCAUUGGUCCGCCAAAUGACCCCUUUUACCCUUGAAGAUUGCAAUAUGUAACACAUAGGAUGCAUCAGGAUGGUCUUUUAUUUUUGGGUACACCUGUCCUACACGGACCCAACCCAUGUGUUGAGUCCCCAAAGUCAAAUGCACGUGAUGCAAACAAACUUUCCUACUAGGGAUCCGACAUGAGGCUAUGUUAUUAUAGUUUUAAAACCUAGGUGUAUUGUUCUAGACCUGACUUACCCGAGCGGACAACUCAAGCCGGGAGAGAGGGCGGCGUACCGGUAACCAAAAGAUCAUCCGACCUUGCAACUUGUUCGAGCCUCGUUCUAAAUUGGGAUAUGACACUAACAGAAAAGAACUCAUGCCAGCAUGCACUUCCCAGAAGAUUAGAAGAGAAGGGUUUCACAGCAAUUUAUAUGUAGUUCAAAUUAUAUCAAAGCGGUAAAAAGCGAUAUUUAGCACAUUAGGCCCAAGCAUGUAAUAAAAAUGAGAUAAUAACUAAAAGCCAAAUAUAACAAUUAUUCUAAGCUCGAAUUCUUGAACCCUGAACCAGAGAUUCUGGGUUCUUAGUCCCCAGCAGAGUCGCCAGAGCUGUCACACCUCAUUUUUCUACCCCGAAAAAGUAUAGGGGAGUUUUUCCAAUUAAAGUAACAAUAACCAAAACAUGAUUAUUUAUGUUAAAAUUCAGAGUCGCCACUUGGGAUAAUUUAUGGUGUCCCAAGUCACCGAUUUAAAAUUCCGAAUCGAGGAAAAUUUUGACUCUGUUUCACAGUCCGCGAAACACAGAAAUCCGGAUAAAAUUUUUUUUAAACUCGAGAGAAGGUGUUAGGCAUUCCCGGGUUCCAUGGUUUAGCACGGUCGCUCAACUAUUAUUAAUUGGCCUAAUUAUCUGAUUAACGACAUGUUUUAUUCCUAUUGUGCAUUUUUAAACUUAUAACCGCUUUUAUUGUUUAUAGCACAAAUCAUGAUGGCCGCACACAUUACAAACCGCGUCACAUGAAAUGCACCCGCAAUUUACAACAUGUUUAUUUUAUUAUUAUUAGAAGUUAUGGUCGGGUCACAUGAAAUGCACACCUGAAUUAGGGAUUGGGUAUCACGAUCAUGCCACGGGAACCGUACCCAUAGUCGUGAUGAUUUAAUAUUAAUCGUGCCUAAAGCAAGCUACGAUCUUUAUGAAUACUACUGGCCUAAGCAUGCUCCUAAUAGUCAAAACAAAAUAAAUAAGGCAGUAAACAUGUAAUCCUAAUCUCUCUUUCACUGAACUAAGCCCAGACCAUUAUUUGCUUCUUUUAAUCCACUUCCUUAACUCAAGUUCCAAAAUCGAUUUAUCAGAAAUAGCAUUUUGUAUUUCUUUGCCUAAUCUUUGCUUAACAAUAUAAAUCACUAUUGAAUUCCAAACAUUAAUAAUUAAACAAUGGAACUACUUUAAUAACUCAACAUUAACAAACACACUAUAAAUUCUACAAUUAACACCAAAUUCAUAAGAAACUCAUAGGAGAACAAACAGUCACAGAAGCAAUUUUACAUUUAUCGCCACUAUUAACAAGUAAAAUAAGAGAAGGGAGAGAUAUUGAACCUCAAUAGCAAUAAAAAUCAGCAAUUACACAGAUCUUGACCCCAAAAUUUGAGCGAGGAAAUAACGACAAAAAUCUGACAGGAAACCGCGGACAACGACUCGGAACCACGACCUUGAAUAAGAACUCGAAUGCAAGAUUUGCCUCCCAAAAUUUGGAUCUCUUAAUCAAAAACUCAACACAGCUCCAUUUCAAAUCAGAAAAACGAAGGCUUGAAACCAGAUUCCUAUCAAACCCAAUCCAUCGCCAACCGCAAAUACUCGUGGUCGUUUAUACAGAUCUAAGAGACCUUUCACUGACUUUUUCUUUUUUCUGCCUUUUUAACACUGUUUUCUGAAAGAUUUCUAACAAUAAAUUUUCUUGUUGCAUGCAGUGACUAUAGUCCACCAACGAUGAACAUGAAAUAAGGAUGUCACGAUGUAAUGACCCGACCGGUCGUUUUAAGCUUUUGCACUUUGCUCAUCGGUUCUCAGGCAUGACUUGCCCCGUGUGAUGGAUUAUGACUUAUGUAAAUCGUUGGUUUUGGUUUUCAGGGUAAUCAGAAUGAAUUUGGAAGAACAGUUCCCAGUUUGAAGCUUGAAAUUUGAAAAAAAUUGACCAAGAUUUGACUUGUUAGUAUAUGAUCUUGCAUCAAAAUUUUUAUGAUUUGGUUAGCUCCAUUAGGUGAUUUGUGACUUAGGAGCGUGAUCGGAAAGCAUCUUGGAAAUCCAUGGAAGGUUUAGGCUUGAAUUGGUGAAAUUGACAUUUUGGCAUUUUCCGGUUGAUAGGCAAAAUUUUGAUAUAGGGGUCAGAAUGGAAUCUUGGAAGUUACAGUAGCUCCAUUGUGUCAUUUGUGACCUGUGUACAAAAUUUCAGAUCAUUUGGACGUGGUUUGGUCGGGUUUUUGAUCAAAAGCGUAAUUUGGAAGAUUUUGGAAUUCUUAGGCUUGAAUUCGAUGCAAAUUUGGUGUUUUAAUGUUGUUUUGAGCGUUACGAAGGUUGAAACAAGUUUGAAUGAUAUUAUGGGAUAUGUUGGAAUGUUUGGUUGAGGUCCCGAGGGCCUCGGGUGAGUUUCAGGUGGUCAAUCAGACCAUUUUAUAUUGUGAGAAAUUUCAGAAUUGCUGCUGUUGGUGUUGCAGGUUUUUGACCUUCCUGUUCGCGAUACAUGUCCCCCAUUCAUGAAGGGUUAAGGUGAGAGGCUGUGAAGUUGGCCUUCGCGUUAUAAUGGUUCCGUGAUCGCAAAGGUGUGAGGUCUUUGGUCAUCGCGUUCGCGAGGUCUUGGUUGCGUUCACAUAGAGGAAAAAGGAUAGCUGGGUCCUCAGUGCAUUUGUUCUACCCGUUCGCAUAGUUGGGGUCGCAAUCGCUAGGUGUUGAGUGUGUUGUGCAUCGCAUUCGCGUGAGAUUUCUCGCGUUCGCGUAAAAGAAAUUCUUGUCAGUGAAGCAGUGUGCUUCGUGAACGCGAGGGAUAUGCCACGUUCGCGAUGAAGAAAUGUCUAGGCAGACAGUUUAUAUUUUUAAAUCGAGGGUUUAAGUCCAGUUUCAUAAAAACCAUUGGAGAGCUCAGGAGAAGGUGGAAUUUGAGGAGAUUUUCAGUGGAGCUAUUGGGGUAAGUAUUCUUCACGCAUAUUUGGUUUAAUUCCAUGAUUUGGUCUUGAAUUUCAUCUUUUAAUUUGAGAAAUUAGAGUGAAAAUUGAGGAAAAAAUAGAAGAAAAGUUUGAGAUUUCUUUUGGGGAUUUGAAUGGGCAAUUGAGAUCGGAUUUUGACGAAUUUGAUAUGGGUAGACUCGUGAGUGAAUGAGGAUUUUAUUGUUGUAAUUUUUAUCGGAUUCCGAGAAGUGGGCCCGGGGGCUGGGUUUGAGCAAUUUCGUGAUUUUGAUGCAAAUUGGAUAGUUUCGAGUGGGCUUUGUUCCCUUAGAAUAUUUUAAUAGUUAUGUACUGAUUGUGGCUAGAUUUGGAGCAUCCGGAGGUGGAUUCAUGAGGGAAAAGGCAUCGCGGACUAGAGUUUGGACCAUAUCGAGGUAAGUAAUGAUUGUAAAUGUUGUCCUGAGGGUUUGAAACCCCGGAUUUCACAUCGUUGUGCUACUUGAGGUGACGCACACGUUAGAUGACGAGCGUGGAGUCGUGCACCGUUGAGGAUUGUGACUUGGUCUGUCCCGUACGACUGUUAAGUCGCGUAUUUGAUUUGAAAUCUUAUGAUAAUCCAUAUUUUAAAGAUUGAUAUUAUAUUUUGGUAUGUAUGCCAUGUUUGGGCCUUAUGCCGACCUAUUGAGACCCUUAGGGGCAUUUUUACUAUUUUUCCUCACUCUAUUUGUUUUGAAAGCAUAUCCUCAAUCAUGUUUUACAUGUUUAUUGUUUAAAUCUGGUUUUAUCACUUUACUUCUUAAAAUGUGAAAACUGUUUGGUCUGAGUUCCCUGUUUUACAGAUGGUUCGAGUGAUCUGAGGUUGAUGACUAAGAUAGACCGAGGGUCUGAUUGUGAGGUUGAUGACUGAGAUAGACCGAGGGUUUGAUUGUGAGGUUAAUGACUGAGAGAGGCCGAUGGCCUGGUUGUGAGGAUUAUAUAUCUAUGAAUUGGGUUGCACGCCGCAACAAUAUAUAUAUGUAUAUGGAUCGGGCUGCACAUCGCAGCGAUAUGUAUAUGGAUCAGGUUGCACGCCACAGCGAUAUGUUGGAUCGGGCUGCAUGCCGCAGCGAUAUAACGCUUGGGCUAUAGGAGCCCUUCCGGAGUCUGCAUACCCCCAGUGAGCGCAAUCGACUAUAUAUAUGGAUUAGGCUACACGCCGCAACGAUAUAUGGAUCAGACUGCGUGCCGCAGCGGUUACUAUAUGGUACUUAUUGAGUGUGAAUGCUGAGUGUGAGCGCUGACUGAUGAAAGUUUAGUCUCGAGUGACUGAGAGGCUUGCCCGAGGGGCUGUAUACAUAUAUGAGUGAUGCUUUGUCCGAGGGGCUUGUUUGAUGUAAUUGCUGUUUUCACUCCUCUUUAUACUGAGCCUCUGUUGAAAAUGUUGAACAAAUGUUUUUAAACAACUUUCAUUUAAGUUGGAGUUUUUAUGAGAUAUUCGAUAUUUAAUCACUGAUUUUGGCUUUGUUAUUUCCACUGAGACUUUUAUGAUAUGAGGUGUUUAUGAUUCCUAUUUUUGCCCGAGGGGCUGUUUACGAACUAUGUUUUGCCCGAGGGGCCGAUUAUGNNNNNNNNNNNNNNNNNNNNNNNNNAGUCUUUAUUUACUCUUAUUACUUACUGGGUUGGAGUACUCACAUUACUCCCUGCACCUCGUGUGCAGAUUUAGGUAUUUCAGAAUCCGGUAGCGGGUAUUGAUUGCUCAGACGCGGAGCCAUCAGAGUUAGCACGGUGGCUGCACGACGUUCGUAGCAUUGCUUCCUUCCUUUCCUUUUUCAUUACUGUAUUUAGUACUUUUUUAGACUCUUGUUGUAUUUAGACCUUGAUAGAUGCUCAUGGCUAGUGACACCCCGAUGUUGGGCUUGUGUAAUUAUUCCGCACUUUUCUUUUAAAUUUUCAUUAUAAGAUUAUUGGUUAAAUGGGAUAAAAACAACUUUUAUUGGAAAAUGGUUGAUUCAGGAGUUGUGUCGGCUGGCCUAUUUUCACGAUAGACGCCAUCACGACUGGAUCGAUUUUGGGUCGUGACAACGAUCCGGAUUUUCCACCCUCGGGAGUCGUGAUGGCGCCUACUAGUGAAAGUUAGGCAAGCUAACCAACUGAAAUAUUUACCUUGUUUCCAUUUUUAAUCCGAUAACAGUUAAAACCUAACAAUUAGAUAACAAAAGAAUUGAAUAAGCGGAAGGCUGUAUUGUAAAGAUUUAAUAAUACUGCUAAUGCCAAUCCAUAACAAACCUACCCAAGACUGGUGUCACAACUUCACAGACUAUCUAGGAGUACUACAAAUAAAGGUCUGAAAGAAAUAAAUACAAUACUGUCGUUGGAAAUACAUAAAAGAAACAAGAAUAGUAGAUAGAAGGAGAUGCCAAGGCCUGUGGACGCCUGCAGGACUACCUCGGGUCGCCUGAUGAACAAGAAACAACAAUCUCACUACGGUCUAAAGUAUACAACACUGGGAUCUACAUAAAAGAGUGUAGAGUGUAGUAUCCGCACAACCGACCCCAUGUGCUGGUAAGUCCCUAGCCUAACCUCGGCGAAGUAGUGACGAGGCUAGGACUAGACUACCAAAUAAACAUGUGCUGUUAAAUCAUAUACAACAGAAAAGAAGAACAGUAAUGUACAGUUAAGUAUGGGAGGGGGUAACAUGCUGCGGGGACAUCGAAUAAUAACAGAAGAACAACAAAUAAAUAUGAGGAUCACCACAGUUCAAUUGAAAAUAGAAAGGGGGUGGGGGAAUCAUGCUGCGGGAUACAACAUGUAUCAACAGGAAACCAACAAUUAAAUGUAGAGAAACCGUAACUCAGUUAUCAAUAAAAAUUAGGAAAUCGAAGACAAGUGCAUGGCAUCACCCUUCGUGCUUUAACACUCUCUCACCAAAACAAUACACGGCAUCACUGCGUGCUUUAACACUCUCUCACCAAAACAAUACACGACAUCACUCUUCGUGCUUUACACUCUUCCUCACCCAAGCAACAAUCACAAGACAAAUAGGGUAAGAGAAUCUAUAACAUCAAAAUAAAAUCAAGUAACACCAUAAAAUCAGUAAAUAAACGUAAAGGACAACAUAACUCAAUUAUCAGAAGAAUCAGGAAAAUCAAGGACAAGUGCACGACAUCACCCUUCGUGCUUUUACUCUCGUCCUCACCAUAAAAAUUAAUAUAAACUACACGGCAUUACCUUUUGUGCUUUUACUCUUAUCCUUACCAUCAAAUCAAUAUAAUCGGAACGAAAUUAUACAUCGUGGGCACGACAUCACCCUUCGUGCUUUACACUCUUCCUCACAAAAUCAUACACGGCAUCACCCUUUGUGCUUUAACACUCUUCCUCACCCUAAACAACAAUCAAAAGAAAUAAAGGCAAGGAAAUAAAUGAAAUCACAAUAAAAUCCCGGCAAGGGAACAAUAGUACAAUAAUCAAAUCCCGGCAAGGGUGACAAUAACAAAACAAUAACAUUCCGGCAAGGGAGACAAUGUCAGGAUUCUCUCUCUCCUUUCUUCUUUCACAUUUACUUCACAACUCAAAUCACAACUUGAGCCAAUGCUCUAUAAUGUUCAACAAUUCAAUUCUUAACUUGAGCCAAUGCUCUAUAAUGUUCAACAAUUCAAUUCUCAACUUGAGCCAAUGCUCUACCAUGUUCAAUUAACAAUAAUACUUCCACAAGUCAUAUUCCUCAAUAUAAAUUACCAUAUAGAGCAUGAACAAUAUGAAGCAAAGUCACAUUAAUCAUAGUAUAAGACUCACGGGUAUGCUUGACACCAACGUAUAGAUACUCGUCAUCAUGCCUAUACGUCGUACUCAACAAAUAACACAUAGCAAAUAGGACACAACUCCUAAUCCCUCAAGCUAAGGUUAGACCAAACACUUACCUCGAUGACACAAACACAAUUCAAGCCUCAACUAUUGCUUUACCUCUUGAUUCCACCACCAACUCGCUCGUAUCUAGCCACAAUUUACUUAAUUACAUCAAUAAAUGCUAAAUGAAUAAAUUCUAAUGAUGAAAAUAGGUUUUCUAAAGUUUUUCCCAAAAAGUCAAAAAUCGACCCCGGGCCUGCUUGGUCAAAACCCGAGGUUUGAACCAAAACCCAAUUACCCAUUCCCCCACGAAUCCAAAUAUAUAAUUUGUUUUGAAAUCGGACCUCAAAUCGAGGUCCAAAUCCCCAAAAUUUUAAAAACCUAGAUUCUACCCAAAACACCCAAUUUCCCCCAUGAAAACUAUUGAUUUUGAGUUGAAAUCAUGUGAAAAGAUGUUAAGGAUUGAAGAAAACUAGUUAGAAAUCACUUACAAUUGAUUUGGAGAAGAAGUUGCCUUUGAAAAAUCGCCCUAGAGUGUUUUGGUUUUGAAAGAGUGUGAAAAAUGGUUGAAAUGCGUCUAAGUUAUGAGUUUGCAGGUCUCUAAUUUCGCAACUGCGAUCAGGGUUCGCAAUUGCGAACCCUUCAGAAUUCUGAGACCUUCGCAUUUGCGAACAAAAUGUCGCACUUGCAACCCAGUCUAUUUUCCGGUCUUCUUCGUAUUUGCGAUACAGGAGUCGCAUUUGCGACUAAGGCAGUAACUGGGGGGGGCAUCACAUUUGUGAUGGAAAACUCGCAUUUGCGAGGGAAUGCUGGCCUGGGCUAGUUCGCAUUUGCGACCCAACCCUCGUAUUUGCGAGCCAGGCUUCGCAAAUGCGAAGCCUACAUGCCUGCAAUAGAACAGCUGAAACCUACAAUUUUUUCAAAUCCAAUUCUACUCCGUGGCCUAUCCAAAACUCACUCGAGCCCUCGGGGCUCCGAACCAAACAUGCCCACCACCCUAUAAACAUCAUACAGACUUGCUUGUGCAUUUAAAUCACUCAAAUAACAUCAACAACUAUGAAUUUAGCAUCAAAAUCAUAAAAUUUCUUAAGAACUUCCAAUUUUCCAAUUUUCUCAAAUACGAUUCGAUUCAUGUCAUCUCAAGUCCGUUUAUUACCAAGUUUCACAGACUUAGCUUAAAUCACAUAUAAGACCUGUACCAGGUGCCGGAACCAAAAUACGGGCCCGAUACCAUCAAGUUUUAAACACAUUUCAUUUUCAAAAACUCAUAAAUUUUGCAGAAAACAAUUUUCUUUAAAAAUUCAUUUCUCGGUCUUGGGACCUCGGAAUUCGAUUUCAGGCAUACACCCAAGUCCCAUAUUUUCCUACGGACCCCACGAGACCAUCAAAUCACGGGUCCAGUUCCAUUUACCCAAAAUGUUGACCGAAGUCAACUUAAUUCAUUUUAAAGUCAAAAUUGAUCAUUUCUUACAGAUUGUCACAUAAAGGCUUUCUGGCUAUGCGCUUGGACUGCGCACGCAAAUUGAGACAAGUAUUCUUAAAAUAAGUGAUGACCUUUUGGGUCAUCACAAAGGAAGCUCUCAACAAUCGAGACAGAUCUAGGAUCCUAAAGUUGAUGGUUCGGCCUAAGAUAUUUGAUACUAAACUAAUGGUGGGCGGCUAUUCUUAGAGCUGUUUCGUUGUGGCGUCAGGUGGUGUUUGACGGAGUUGCGACGGCGAUGGAGGUGAAGGAGGAAGUAUG
Molecule: long non-coding RNA, 18731 nt
Filed under: Nicotiana tabacum (common tobacco)
Lineage: Eukaryota; Viridiplantae; Streptophyta; Magnoliopsida; Solanales; Solanaceae
Description: long non-coding RNA (NTAB_LNC015121)
Source: RNAcentral